CGGUGGGCUAGGCCGGGGGGCUCGGCGUCCCCUGUGACCCGAAACCGUCGUCAUGCGGGGGCCGAAGCCGAAGGAAGGCCCGGAGGGCGGGAGGCGAAAGCCCCCGGCCUCGUAGAAUCUCCGUCCCGGAGGGCCGGCGGUCACGGCCGGGCUUCCCGGAGGGGAUGUCCGCCGUGUUUGCCGGGGGAACCGGCCCAGGCCCGGAAGGGAGCAGGCUAACCCCGGACGUUCGGCGCUUCCGGGGGUGCGGAGAGGAUGGGGCCGGGGGAGAUAACCUCCCGUCCGAAGGGUCGACCGGAGGCGCGCCCACCA
This 312-nucleotide signal recognition particle RNA is filed under the name Geoglobus ahangari. RNAcentral's name for it is "Archaeal signal recognition particle RNA". It matches the Rfam family "Archaeal signal recognition particle RNA". The record is from Rfam by way of RNAcentral. Lineage: Archaea; Methanobacteriati; Methanobacteriota; Archaeoglobi; Archaeoglobales; Archaeoglobaceae.